Alligator mississippiensis (American alligator) is the source of this 480-nucleotide long non-coding RNA. RefSeq lists it as uncharacterized. Lineage: Eukaryota; Metazoa; Chordata; Crocodylia; Alligatoridae. The record is from RefSeq and is a predicted model, not a curated record. The transcript has 4 exons.
UGUAGGAGGCAGGUAGUAACAUUGCCUGGCUUUAACAUUGCCGUGAAUGACCUGGAGGAGGCCAAGUCACUCUUCUGCAAGGUCCUGGAAGUGACACCCUGUGCCCUGGGCUCCUGUUUGCCACGCUGCUCACCGUGGUGACUGCCUCCUGGCCCAGAUGGCAGUUUUAGAAGAAAAAAGCAGCAAACAAACUGGACCUGGAACAUAAAGAAAGAUGUUGUUGACUUUAUGGGAAGCUAUUUAAAAGUGACAAGGCAAACACUCAACUAAGAGGGAAGAGAAGCUGCGAGAAGAAACAGAAGCAAAAUAAAAGAUGGGUGCUCUGCUGAAAUACAAAUACUUUAUGUGCUCUUCAACUAGUUCAAAUAUGUCCAUGUUUAAAUGAAGAUUUUAUCAUGCAAGAUGGUUUUGUUCUUUUUUUUCCUCCUUCUGGCAACCUGUGAUUCCAACAUUACACAUUCUGCUAUGCAUACUCCUCUU